UCAACACAAAAUUACAUCCAGACAAAAGCAAAACCAUAUACAACAAUUUUAAUCGGCCUUGAAGCAUAAAUUUACUCCUACAAAAUGUAUACUAUUUACUUCAGAAAAGAGCAGAUAACCACCUUAUUUAUACAUGAUUAGCAAUCCUCCUCCUAGGUCCUCUUAAUUUGUUCUAUCCCAUCCGCAAGGAAUUCUUUGAUCUGUCAUCUUGAUAUUUCCACACCUCAUCCUUAGGAAUCCUUGUCAAACCACCACUACUCAUACAUGACUAGUAGCUUGCGUUCUCUAGUGACUCCAUUUUUGGCUAAGUUAUCUACUGUCUGAUUUACUUCCCGAGGGACGCGCUUCACCGGCCAGUUUCCUCAUCUGUUUUUCAAUCUUUCUAUGCUAAUCACCCAUUUCCUCAUUCGCCAUGGUGCUAUUUAUGGUUGAAGGACCUAACUUAUAGCGUUUUUUUAAAUCACUCUCCACAGUCAGGGUGAAGCUCCCACACCAUUUUGUGGUUGAAAAAAUAGGAAGGCCUCCCUUAUAGCGAAUACCUUAGCCAAAUUAGAGUCCCCCAUUCCAAUGGCCUUGGAAAGAACAAUUUUAACAUCCCUAUUUGAGUCUUGAAAAAC
This 617-nucleotide long non-coding RNA is filed under the name Theobroma cacao (cacao). RNAcentral describes it as "long non-coding RNA (TCAC_LNC001597)". The record is from RNAcentral. Lineage: Eukaryota; Viridiplantae; Streptophyta; Magnoliopsida; Malvales; Malvaceae.